This 469-nucleotide ribosomal RNA is filed under the name uncultured bacterium. RNAcentral describes it as "bacterial SSU rRNA". It matches the Rfam family "Bacterial small subunit ribosomal RNA", at positions 466 to 936 of the family's 1533-position model. The record is from RNAcentral.
CCUCGGGCGGUCCCGCGCCCGGCCCGCGUCCCCGCCCCGUGCCAGCAGCCGGGGUAAUCCGGAGGGAGCUAGCGUUGUUUGGAAUUACUGGGGGUAAAGCGGGCGUAGGCGGCUAUUCAAGUCAGAGGUGAAAGCCCGGAGCUUAACUCCAGAACUGCCUUUGAAACUAGGUAGCUAGAAUCUUGGAGAGGUGAGUGGAAUUCCGAGUGUAGAGGUGAAAUUCGUAGAUAUUCGGAAGAACACCAGUGGCGAAGGCGACUCCCUGGGCAAUUAUUGACGCUGAGGUACGAAAGCGUGGGGAGCAAACAGGAUUAGAUACCCUGGUAGUCCACCCUGUAAACGAUGAUAACUAGCUGUCCGGGCUCUCAGACCUCGGUGGCGCAGCUAACGCAUUAAGCAAUCCGCCUGGGGAGUACGGUCGCAAGAUUAAAACUUCAAAGGAAUUGACGGGGCCCGCACAAGCGGGGAG